RNAcentral lists this ribosomal RNA (572 nucleotides) under Diplodia corticola. RNAcentral describes it as "partial large subunit ribosomal RNA". It matches the Rfam family "Eukaryotic large subunit ribosomal RNA", at positions 104 to 692 of the family's 3401-position model. Lineage: Eukaryota; Fungi; Ascomycota; Dothideomycetes; Botryosphaeriales; Botryosphaeriaceae. The record is from RNAcentral.
CAGCUCAAAUUUGAAAGCUGGCCCUUUCAGGGUCCGCGUUGUAAUUUGUAGAGGAUGAUUCGGCGAGGGCUCCCGCCUAAGUCCCCUGGAACGGGGCGUCAUAGAGGGUGAGAAUCCCGUAUGCGGUGGGCUGCCUUAGCCAUGUGAAUCUCCUUCGACGAGUCGAGUUGUUUGGGAAUGCAGCUCUAAAUGGGAGGUAAAUUUCUUCUAAAGCUAAAUACCGGCCAGAGACCGAUAGCGCACAAGUAGAGUGAUCGAAAGAUGAAAAGCACUUUGGAAAGAGAGUUAAAAAGUACGUGAAAUUGUUGAAAGGGAAGCGCUUGCAACCAGACUUGUCCGCAGUUGCUCAGCCGGUCUCCUGACCGGCGUACUCUUCUGCGGCCAGGCCAGCAUCAGUUCGGGCGGUCGGAUAAAGACCUCGGGAAUGUGGCUCCUCUCGGGGAGUGUUAUAGCCCGGGGUGGAAUGCGGCCAGCCUGGACUGAGGAUCUCGCUUCGGCAAGGAUGCUGGCGUAAUGGUUGUAAGCGGCCCGUCUUGAAACACGGACCAAGGAGUCUAACAUCUAUGCGAGUG